RNAcentral lists this non-coding RNA (117 nucleotides) under Chlorocebus sabaeus (green monkey). Lineage: Eukaryota; Metazoa; Chordata; Mammalia; Primates; Cercopithecidae. The record is from Rfam by way of RNAcentral.
GCCGGGCGUGGUGGCUCACGCCUGUAAUCCCAGAACUUUGGGAGGCUGAGGCAGGUGGAUCACCCGAGGCCAGGAGUUCGAGACCAGCCUGGCCAACAUGGUGAAACCCCGUCUCUA